RNAcentral lists this ribosomal RNA (442 nucleotides) under uncultured bacterium. RNAcentral describes it as "partial 16S ribosomal RNA". It matches the Rfam family "Bacterial small subunit ribosomal RNA", at positions 338 to 795 of the family's 1533-position model. The record is from RNAcentral.
CCUACGGGGGGCAGCAGUAGGGAAUCUUUCACAAUGGGCGCAAGCCUGACGGAGCAACGCCGCGUGCAGGAUGAAGGCCUUCGGGUUGUAAAAUGCUUUUUUCAGGGAGAAAUAUGAUGGUAACUUAUGAAUAAGGAUCGGCUCACUACGUGCAAGCAGCCGCGGUCAUACGUAGAAGCCGAGCAUUAUCUGGAGUGUUUGGGUGUGGAGAGUUGCGUAGGUGGGAUAAGGAGUAUCUAGGUGAAUCUGGUGGCUCAAACAUUCAGACUGUUAGCUAAACUGUUAAGCUAGAGUCCGUUAGAGGUAACCGGAAUUUCUGGUGUAGCGGUGAAAUGCGUAGAUAUUAGGAGGAACACCAAUAGCGAAGGCAGGUUACUGGGACGCUUCUGACGCUAAGGCACGAAAGCGUAGGGAGCAAACGGGAUUAGAUACCCGAGUAGUC